AGUGAACGCUGGCGGCAUGCCUAACACAUGCAAGUCGAACGGUAACACGUCUAGGGCUUCCUCCUAGGGGUGGCGGGGGGCGUACUACAUCGGAAUGUAUCCGAUCCUGCUGGAUCGCGGGGGGUAACGUUUGCUAAUAUCGCAUACGAUCUCAUGCUACCAACGGGGGAACUCAGGAGCUCGUGCGGCCUUGCCGGCCGAUGGCAGCCUAAGUCGGAGUAGGUAGUUGGGAGGGUAAAGGCCCAACAAUGCGACGAGUCGUAGGCGGUCUUAGAGGAUGAUCAGGCACAAUGGGACUGAGAAAAGGCCCAGACUCCUACGGGAGGCAGCAGUUGGGAAUUUUUGGCAAUGGGCGAAAGCCCUAACCAGCCAUGCCGCGUGCGGGAUGAAGGGCUUCGGGUUGUAAAAGGCUUUUUGUCGGGACGAAAAACCUCUUGCUUAAUAAGACAGGUUUUGACGGUACCGCAAGAAUAAGCACCGGCUAACUACGUG
This 492-nucleotide ribosomal RNA is filed under the name uncultured bacterium. RNAcentral describes it as "partial 16S ribosomal RNA". It matches the Rfam family "Bacterial small subunit ribosomal RNA", at positions 29 to 507 of the family's 1533-position model. The record is from RNAcentral.